GCGCGGGCCUGUACGCGGACCCCCGGGAAUGUCGAUAGCCGCAUUCUUUGUGCGAUUUUUAAAAUAAAAACAUACGCCCGUGACGUCGUCGUCGUAACGUCGAACCGCUUUUAAUUUGAAAAUUAAUUAAUUUUUUUGAUAAAUUGCUGGCGAAGUACGUUAAAUAUUUAUCGAACAUAUUACUAUUAUUAUCGUUAUAAUAAUUCAACGGUCGGAAACAGCGACGUUACUGUAUCGUGGUAUCCCCUCCCCCACUAUUUUUCAUUUUAAUAGCCAUUCCAGUAGCUGAUGUCUCGACGGAGGGGUGUUCAAGACGCCUAGGUGUCAUGGUGGAAAUUUAGUGGGUGACCUAACCCAUCGGUUAGAAGAACGUCAACAAUAGAUAUUCGGUAAUAAUUAGGGCCCAGAUUUAAAUGCAUUUAAAAUCCACAAAACAAGCACUUCAAAAUGGCAAGUAAGAUAUUAAAAAAGCCUUUUAAAUAGCAACAAAUUGUGUUUAUAUAGGUUUAAAAAAUAUCCUCUCUAA
Cinara cedri is the source of this 526-nucleotide non-coding RNA. NCBI's taxonomy places the organism in Eukaryota, Metazoa, Arthropoda, Insecta, Hemiptera, Aphididae. The record is from the annotation of a GenBank genome assembly.